RNAcentral lists this ribosomal RNA (611 nucleotides) under uncultured bacterium. RNAcentral's name for it is "bacterial SSU rRNA". It matches the Rfam family "Bacterial small subunit ribosomal RNA", at positions 69 to 691 of the family's 1533-position model. The record is from RNAcentral.
GCAGCAUAACUUAGCUUGCUAAGUUGAUGGCGACCGGCGCACGGGUGAGUAACACGUAUCCACCUGCCGAUGACUCGGGGAUAGCCUUUCGAAAGAAAGAUUAAUACCCGAUGGCUCCGCAUGGUUAAAGAAUUUCGGUCAUCGAUGGGGAUGCGUUCCAUUAGGUUGUUGGCGGGGUAACGGCCCACCAAGCCUUCGAUGGAUAGGGGUUCUGAGAGGAAGGUCCCCCACAUUGGAACUGAGACACGGUCCAAACUCCUACGGGAGGCAGCAGUGAGGAAUAUUGGUCAAUGGACGAGAGUCUGAACCAGCCAAGUAGCGUGAAGGAUGACUGCCUAUGGGUUGUAAACUUCUUUUAUACGGGAAUAAGUGAGGCACGUGUGCCUUUUUGUAUGUACCGUAUGAAUAAGGAUCGGCUAACUCCGUGCCAGCAGCCGCGGUAAUACGGAGGAUCCGAGCGUUAUCCGGAUUUAUUGGGUUUAAAGGGAGCGUAGGCGGACGCUUAAGUCAGUUGUGAAGGUUUGCGGCUCAACCGUAAAAUUGCAGUUGAUACUGGGUGUCUUGAGUACAGUAGAGGCAGGCGGAAUUCGUGGUGUAGCGGUGAAAUGCUU